KAUGAACGCUGGCGGCAUGACGUAAUACAUGCMWUUCAAACGAASUGAYCCACACCAAACAGAAGUGCUUGCACGGAAGUGGAAAUGGAACCUCACUUAGUGGCGAACGGGUGAGUAACACGUGGGUAACCUGCCCUUCAAACUGGGAUAACUAUUGGAAACGAUAGCUAAUACCGGAUAGGUAAAUUUGAGGCAUCUCAAAUUUAUUAAAGGUGCGUAUGCACCAUUGAAGGAUGGACCCGCGGUGCAUUAGCUAGUUGGUAAGGUAACGGCUUACCAAGGCGAUGAUGCAUAGCCGACCUGAGAGGGUGACCGGCCACAUUGGGACUGAGACACGGCCCAGACUCCUACGGGAGGCAGCAGUAGGGAAUUUUCGUCAAUGGGGGGAACCCUGAACGAGCAAUGCCGCGUGAGCGAAGAAGGAUUUCGGUCUGUAAAGCUCUGUUGUAAAGGAAGAAAGCUAGAGAUAGGAAAUGAUCUUUAGUUGACGGUACUUUACCAGAAAGCCACGGCUAACUACGUGCCAGCAGCCGCGGUAAUACGUAGGUGGCAAGCGUUAUCCGGAAUUAUUGGGCGUAAAGGGUGCGUAGGCGGCCGAAUAAGUCUGAAGUAAAAGCCAGUGGCUCAACCACUGUUCGCUUUGGAAACUGUUUGGCUAGAGUGCAGAAGAGGCAAGUGGAAUUCCAUGUGUAGCGGUAAAAUGCGUAGAUAUAUGGAGGAACACCAGUGGCGAAGGCGGCUUGCUGGUCUGUAACUGACGCUGAGGCACGAAAGCGUGGGGAGCAAAUAGGAUUAGAUACCCUAGUAGUCCACGCCGUAAACGAUGAGAACUAAGUGUUGGAGUAAUUCAGUGCUGCAGUUAACGCAAUAAGUUCUCCGCCUGGGGAGUAUGCACGCAAGUGUGAAACUCAAAGGAAUUGACGGGGGCCCGCACAAGCGGUGGAGUAUGUGGUUUAAUUCGAAGCAACGCGAAGAACCUUACCAGGCCUUGACAUCCCGAGCAAAGUUAUGGAGACAUAAUGGAGGUUAUCUCGGUGACAGGUGGUGCAUGGUUGUCGUCAGCUCGUGUCGUGAGAUGUUGGGUUAAGUCCCGCAACGAGCGCAACCCUUGUCUUUAGUUACUAACAUUUAGUUGAGGACUCUAGAGAGACUGCCGGUGAUAAACCGGAGGAAGGUGGGGAUGACGUCAAAUCAUCAUGCCCCUUAUGGCCUGGGCUACACACGUACUACAAUGGCAACUACAAAGAGCAGCGAACUCGCGAGAGCAAGCAAAUCUCAUAAAGGUUGUCUCAGUUCGGAUUGAAGUCUGCAACUCGACUUCAUGAAGUCGGAAUCGCUAGUAAUCGUAGAUCAGCAUGCUACGGUGAAUACGUUCUCGGGCCUUGUACACACCGCCCGUCAAACCAUGGAAGUUGGUAAUACCCGAAGCCGGUGGCAUAACCCUUUAGGAGUGAGCCGUCGAAGGUAGGACCGAUGACUGGGGUU
RNAcentral lists this ribosomal RNA (1485 nucleotides) under uncultured Erysipelotrichia bacterium. RNAcentral describes it as "bacterial SSU rRNA". It matches the Rfam family "Bacterial small subunit ribosomal RNA". The record is from RNAcentral. Lineage: Bacteria; Bacillati; Bacillota; Erysipelotrichia.